GUCCACGCCCUAAACGAUGUCAACUAGUUGUUGGGGAUUCAUUUCCUUAGUAACGUAGCUAACGCGUGAAGUUGACCGCCUGGGGAGUACGGUCGCAAGAUUAAAACUCAAAGGAAUUGACGGGGACCCGCACAAGCGGUGGAUGAUGUGGAUUAAUUCGAUGCAACGCGAAAAACCUUACCUACCCUUGACAUGCCACUAACGAAGCAGAGAUGCAUUAGGUGCUCGAAAGAGAAAGUGGACACAGGUGCUGCAUGGCUGUCGU
RNAcentral lists this ribosomal RNA (265 nucleotides) under uncultured bacterium. RNAcentral describes it as "partial 16S ribosomal RNA". It matches the Rfam family "Bacterial small subunit ribosomal RNA", at positions 793 to 1055 of the family's 1533-position model. The record is from RNAcentral.